GACGAACGCUGGCGGCGUGCUUAACACAUGCAAGUCGAACGGAAAGGCCCUGCUUUUGUGGGGUGCUCGAGUGGCGAACGGGUGAGUAACACGUGAGUAACCUGCCCUUGACUUUGGGAUAACUUCAGGAAACUGGGGCUAAUACCGGAUAGGAGCUCCUGCUGCAUGGUGGGGGUUGGAAAGUUUCGGCGGUUGGGGAUGGACUCGCGGCUUAUCAGCUUGUUGGUGGGGUAGUGGCUUACCAAGGCUUUGACGGGUAGCCGGCCUGAGAGGGGGACCGGCGACAUUGGGACUGAGAUACGGCCCAGACUCCUACGGGACGCAGCAGUGGGGAAUAUUGCACAAUGGGCGGAAGCCUGAUGCAGCAACGCCGCGUGCGGGAUGACGUCCUUCGGGGUGUAAACCGCUUUCGCCUGUGACGAAGCGUGAGUGACGGUAAUGGGUAAAGAAGCACCGGCUAACUACGUG
Molecule: ribosomal RNA, 468 nt
Filed under: uncultured bacterium
Lineage: Bacteria
Description: partial 16S ribosomal RNA
Rfam family: Bacterial small subunit ribosomal RNA
Source: RNAcentral